CAGGGCCAGCGGCGGCGAGCCGUGUGCCUGGCCGCCGUGGUGCUGCUGGCCUUCGUCACCUGCUUCGCACCCAACAACUUCGUGCUGCUGGUCCACAUGGUCAGCCGGCUCUUCUUCGGCCGCAGCUACUACCACGUGUACAAGCUGACCCUCUGCCUCAGCUGCCUCAACAACUGCCUGGACCCCUUCGUCUACUACUUCGCCUCCCGCGAGUUCCAGCUGCGCCUGCGCCACUACCUGGGCUACGGCCGCCUGCCCAGCGACAGCCUGGACACGACGCGCAGGGACAGCCUCUUCUCCGCCAGGACGCUCUCGGCGCGCUCCAUGUCCGCCGGCCCCGGGGACGCGCUCGAGGGCACUGGCCGGCCCGGCCUCAAGAGGCAGGAGAGCGUCUUCUGAGCCUGCGAGUGACCUUUGCAGGAGGUCCAGCGGGGACACGCACCCCCCACGGCCACCCUGGAGGUGUGCAGAGACCACCUGCUCCCUACGGGGGGGGGGAGCCACCAGGGGUCCCCAGGCCGCUGUGCCAUGGAGCCUGGACCCCCUGCGUCUUCCUGCUCAGGGACCCUGUGGUCGAAGUCACCGGCUGCGAAACCCAGACCGGUCAGGACCCAGCAGCGGAGACCACGGUGGCUUCACGGAGCAGCUUGCUCAGGGACUUGGAUCCUGCACAUUGUCACCGGGAGGUGCCUCCAGGGCUGGAGGCUUCUCAGCCACAGGCGGACACCUGGCUGGACCCCGCAUGCCAUUUGGGGACCAGGCACCAGUGAAUAGCGUCCUCCUCCAUUCAGGUCUGCGGGGACCUGGUGUGGGAACAGGGUCUCUGCAGAGGUGGUCAGUGCAGGGUCCUGAGAUGGGCUCCUCCUGGGUCAGGGGGCCCUCAUGCAAUGGCCGUGUCCUCCUAAGGGACAGAGGAGGGGACACAGACCCAGAGGAGGAGCCCUGUGGAGACGGAGGCAGAGACGGCAGUGAGGGGCCACCAGCCCAGGGCCACCUGGAGCCCAGGAGCUGGAGAGGCAGGAGGAGCCCCCUGGAGCCCAGGAGGGAGCUCAGCCGGGGACCCUGGUCCAGCCUCUGUCCCCCAGGGACACAUCAGCCCCUUGGACACUGAAGGUUCCCAAAGCCACAUCCCUGACAGGCCACCAUCUCCAUCCUGUGACAGACCCCGCACCUCCCGCUCCUCCCGAGGAUGAUCCCGUGGGUCCCAGAGCGUGGGCCCACGGCGGUUUUUCCUGGCUGUCCCCGAGCAGAACCUAGAAAGUGACACUGAGUCAGACACGUCGAGGGUGGAAACCCUGAGCCAGCAAAAUGGUCCCUGCGCGGGCUGUGGGCGUUUCGGAGGCAAAGAAAAAAAAAUCUACGAAAAACCUCAAACCACCAGCUCAGAGCCGAGCCCAGGAGCCUCAGGUCCUGCGUCCUGCAGAGAAUUCGAGACCUGGUGACAUCAGCAAAUCUCUGCAGCUUGCCUCUGUCCCCUGGAGCACACCAGACCUGCAGCCCCCGUGGACAGAGGGACAGGGCAGAUCCAGCUUUUCUCCGGACGCUCUGGGCUGCCGACCCCCCUUUGCCCUGCCUAGGAGCCACGUCCAGGUCCCCCGAUGUGACUUAGGCUCUGGAGUCUGUGGCUCCUGCCACCUGAGCCAUGCUCCGUGACGUGUGUGUCCCACGACCCGAGUUCCAGGGUCGACGUGGCUUUGCAUUGAGCAUUUUAAUCCUAUUGACGCGCUGUGUGUGUUUUCUGGAAUCUCGUCCCCUCGGUCCCCGGGCCUGAGGCUCGGACACCCCAGAGGAUAGAGGGGUGUCCACAACUGCAGAGACUCGGUCCCCGUCACUCUGUCACUUGUGGACAGUGGAAUUUUCAUUGCUCUCCCGUGCAUCCAAGAUGGACCAGGACCGCCUCUCGGGCAGGAAUGAGGACAGGGGACACCGAGGAGGGCCACCGGUUGAACGAGGGUCGUUAGCUUGUCCUUCAGGGCAGGACGUCAGGACCCCAGGGAAGUCCCCAUCGGUGAACUUUGCCCGUGGGUCAGCGGGGUCACCCCCAGGGACAGGCACGGGGCCAUCUUUCAAAGGAAGCAGAGGUGCCCAAGAGACCCAAAGGGACAUCAUGU
This 2111-nucleotide long non-coding RNA is filed under the name Marmota marmota marmota (Alpine marmot). Its description in RNAcentral is "lncRNA (ENSMMMG00000004418.1)". The record is from RNAcentral. Lineage: Eukaryota; Metazoa; Chordata; Mammalia; Rodentia; Sciuridae.